Oncorhynchus gorbuscha (pink salmon) is the source of this 2413-nucleotide long non-coding RNA. RefSeq lists it as uncharacterized. Lineage: Eukaryota; Metazoa; Chordata; Actinopteri; Salmoniformes; Salmonidae. The record is from RefSeq and is a predicted model, not a curated record. The transcript is spliced from 3 exons.
UUUGGAUUGGUGCUGCAUCUUGUGUCUAUAAAAUGAGCUCCUCGUAAUCCGUAGAUAAUGCUUUCUUCUGCAGUUUUUUCGAAAUAUAUAAUGAUAGCCAUGGAGAAUUGCAAAUAUGUUAUGAGGAACUGCAAAUAUGUUGUUACUGCUCUCAAUAACAUUGCUGCCCUGAAUUGCGGACAAUUUGUGUGGUCUACUUUCUGGAGGAUGAUCGUACCAUGCUGACUCUCUCUGAAAAUGAAAAUGAAUCAGACAAUGAGGAAAUCCCUGAUUUAGGGAAAAACAUUUUAAUUGAAGAAGACAUUGUCUUCUGAUGACAGUGCUGGAUAUGAAACAGUGACAAUCAACAGUGUUGUUGUCAUGGAAGAAGUUGACAGAGUUUUGAAAUCAGUGGAAUGUCUGAUAGAAGCAACAAGACACAGGACGUCUUAUUUAAUUAAAGGGGUUGCAGUCUGCCGUGAAGCUUUCAUCCAUGUAUAUGGCAUCAGUAGAACACCCUCGACUCUCCUCCACCAGUCAUACAAGGAGAAUGAUCUAAUGGCUCCCAUCAAAAAGAGAACUGGCCCAAGCAAGCACAGGUUACACCUGAAGCAUGAGGACUUGCUGUGAGUGGUGAACUUCAUCAACAACUAUGCAGAGGAUCAUGCAAUAGCAUUACCAGGACACCAUCCAGGACACAAACACUUUGGUGGAAAGCUGCUGCCAUCCCAUGUGACAAAAGCAUCAUUGUGGCGUCUCUACAAGGAAUCGAUGACAGGUAUGUGUAGUCUUCCUUCAGGAAUCUGUGGAGAAAAUUGCUGCCCCACAUUUCUAGCACUAAGCCGAGGACAGACAUGUGCUGGCAGUGCCAGAUGAAAAACUAUCAGGUCUUCAGAUCUACCAGAAGCUGUUUAAUCAGCCAAGCUGAAGAAGCAAGAGCAGCAUCUCCUGCUUGUUCAGAGUGAGCGGUCUGUCUACCAGAAGAUGGUUGCUGACUAUAUAUAUAUAUGGGAGGCAGGCAAAUACAUUUCACUGAUUGGUGUAAAGACAAGUUGACAGGAGUGAGACAAUUAAUUGUAAUUUAUCUUAAUGUUCUUUUGUUGUUUGCAGAUGCACUAUCCUUCUGUCAUUAUGCAGCCAGGUCCCAUCUACUUUUUAACUCCUCGCGAGUGUGGGUUCUUUGGUGUCUGCUGUGAAGGAAUACCACAACAAGUCAACUACUUGAUUGAUGAAGGCAUGUCAACCAGCGAAGACAGCAGAGCAGUCAUCAACUACAUUCACCAUUUCUUCUCCAACUACGGAGUUGGGGAAACAAGUGUGGAUCUGAAUUGUGAUAACUGCAGUGGCCAAAAAGAGAACAAGUUUGUGCUCUGGUCUUGUGUCUGGCGGACCAUGCACAAGCUCCACCGCAGUCUGGACCUUCAUUUCCUGAUCACAGGCCACAUCAAGUUUGCCCCCGACUGGUGCUUCGGCCUCAUCAAGCAGAGCUUCAGAAAGACCAGGGUAAACACUUUGUCUGAGAUUGCUGGUGUUGUGAAGGACAGCACUGUGACAGAGGUCAACAUCCCACAGCUGGUUGGACUUUGAGCUGUUCCUGUCUAUUGAUGUUCUGUAUUAUGUCAUUCUGUAUUAUGUUUCAUGUUUUGUGUGGAACCCAGGAAGAGUAGCUGCUGCUUUUGCAACAGCUAAUGCAGAUCCUAAUAAAAUACCAAAUACCAAUACUCUGGACUUCAGGAUGCUGCCACAGAUCAAGCAGUACCAGCACUUCAGGUGAAUGUCAUUUCCAUUGCAUUCUAUGAGGUUAUUCUUCUUAUUGAAACUUGGGAGGUGAAUUGAUGUUGUGCAAGGAUGUAAUGUCUUCAAAAAAAAUCUUCAAGUUUGACAGCUUCAAUUCUCUGGAGCCUGGUGUUGUUGUUGCCAAGGAGCGUUCGGACUCAGUCGGGACCAGGUUUCAGCUGCUGCACAACGCUGACAUCCUUCCUCCCAUAGAUGGUCUGCCUGUACAAGCACCACCUGGACUGGACACAGCUAGACAAACGUAUGUUUUUGAGAAGAUCAGGGUGUUUUGCGACGAAGAGGCUAUGGAUAUUACAUGCCCUGCACCAUAGUCAAGGGAAGGACAGAAACACACUCUCAGGGGUACAUGCUCAGUCCCCUCCUGUACUCCCCGUUCACUCAUGACGGCACGGCCAUGCACGACUCCAACACCAUCAUUUGCCGAUGACACAACAGUGGUAGGCCUGAUCACCGACAACGAAGAGACAGCCUAUAGGGAGGAGGUCAGAGACCUGAACGUGUGGUGUCAGGAAGAGAACCUCUACCUCAACGUGAUCAAGACAAAGGAGAGGAUUGUGGACAACAGGAAAAAGAGGACUGAUCAUGCCCCCAUUCUCAUCAACUGGGCUGUAAUGGAGCAGGUUGAGAGCUUCAAGUU